UUCUUUUUGGAGAGUUUGAUCCUGGCUCAGGACGAACGCUGGCGGCGUGCCUAAUACAUGCAAGUCGAGCGGACCUCAUAGGAAGCUUGCUUUUUAU
Molecule: ribosomal RNA, 97 nt
Filed under: Ureibacillus terrenus
Lineage: Bacteria; Bacillati; Bacillota; Bacilli; Caryophanales; Caryophanaceae
Description: partial 16S ribosomal RNA
Rfam family: Bacterial small subunit ribosomal RNA
Source: RNAcentral